This 339-nucleotide ribosomal RNA is filed under the name Sternopygus macrurus. RNAcentral's name for it is "partial 12S ribosomal RNA". It matches the Rfam family "Bacterial small subunit ribosomal RNA", at positions 845 to 1354 of the family's 1533-position model. Lineage: Eukaryota; Metazoa; Chordata; Actinopteri; Gymnotiformes; Sternopygidae. The record is from RNAcentral.
GCCCUAUUACCCAAAGCAUCCGCCCGAGUACUACAAGCAUAAGCUUAAAACUCAAAGGACUUGGCGGUGUCUCAGACCCACCUAGAGGAGCCUGUUCUAGAACCGAUAACCCCCGUUAAACCUCACCACCCCUUGUUUUCCCCGCCUAUAUACCGCCGUCGUCAGCUUACCCUGUGAAGGACAAACAGUAAGCAAAAUGGAUAAAACCCGAAACGUCAGGCCGAGGUGUAGCGAACGAGGUGGGAAGAAAUGGGCUACAUUUUCUAUCAUAGAAUAUUCACGAACGGCACCCUGAAAUAUAUGCCUGAAGGUGGAUUUAGUAGUAAAAAGAAAAUAGAG